This is a long non-coding RNA of Ochotona princeps (American pika), 238 nucleotides long. RefSeq lists it as uncharacterized. NCBI's taxonomy places the organism in Eukaryota, Metazoa, Chordata, Mammalia, Lagomorpha, Ochotonidae. The record is from RefSeq and is a predicted model, not a curated record. The transcript has 2 exons.
CGACUGUGUGAGAGCAGGGCGGCGUCGUGUUGCCGUGGCUCGCAGGGCCCUCGUGCCUCGUGGCUCGAAGUCCGUGCCCUCCCUGGCCCUGUCAUCCCACACAAAGGGCCUGUCCCAUAAUCCCAUGACUGUGGGAACUCGUCCCCAGGUCCUCCAAACUGGGGCGACAUGGUACAGACUCCGGAAAUGGUGACGUCAGGUACAGAACAAUGUUUUGUGAAAUGGAGACACCACUGUC